Molecule: ribosomal RNA, 407 nt
Filed under: uncultured Sphingomonas sp.
Lineage: Bacteria; Pseudomonadati; Pseudomonadota; Alphaproteobacteria; Sphingomonadales; Sphingomonadaceae
Description: bacterial SSU rRNA
Rfam family: Bacterial small subunit ribosomal RNA
Source: RNAcentral
ACGAAGGCUUCGGCCUUAGUGGCGCACGGGUGCGUAACGCGUGGGAAUCUGCCCUCAGGUUCGGAAUAACAGCGAGAAAUUGCUGCUAAUACCGGAUGAUAUCGCGAGAUCAAAGAUUUAUCGCCUGAGGAUGAGCCCGCGUAGGAUUAGCUAGUUGGUGUGGUAAAGGCGCACCAAGGCGACGAUCCUUAGCUGGUCUGAGAGGAUGAUCAGCCACACUGGGACUGAGACACGGCCCAGACUCCUACGGGAGGCAGCAGUGGGGAAUAUUGGACAAUGGGCGAAAGCCUGAUCCAGCAAUGCCGCGUGAGUGAUGAAGGCCUUAGGGUUGUAAAGCUCUUUUACCCGGGAUGAUAAUGACAGUACCGGGAGGAUAAGCUCCGGCUAACUCCGUGCCAGCAGCCGCG